CGACGAUACAGAAAUCGCAACAUACAGUAUCUUUCCUCAAGAAAAUUCUGCUCCUAACUACCAGAAGCAUAACCAGCCUCAGGAGGAUACUAAGUACAUGAUGAUAGAAAAUGUUUGUUAUUCUUGCUCUACAUGCCAGGUAAAGCCUAGAGGCUUGAACUUAAGCAAAAAUACAACUCUGAUCAUUAUGGGCCAAAACACAGUUUAAAUCCCAUACUUAGAUGUCCUCGGGGCCAUUGAUAACGUUGUUCUCGAGUACUGCCCCAUCAGGAAUGUCGAUCCUCACCCCAGAUUUUGCAGUGAUGGUGACAUUGCCCUUGAGGACUACACCUGCACCAAACCAUACAUCACCAGAAACCUUUAAGCUGUCGAGCUCUACAAUGCUAGGUAUUGACUUGAAACGGUUGAGGAAGUUGCCAACCUUUUUGAACUCUGGUCCUAGUUCAAUCGAAGGGUUUGCGGGAUUUGUUCUUGCUGUGUUACGGGUUACAAAGCCAUCAACCAAGGUAUAUAGAUCAGACUGGACUAGCAGCAAAUCGGAUGUUGCCUUCACUGGGAGAAACCGAGAUCGGGGAACAUUAAUCCCAAUAGCAUGAUCGAAAAAUCGUAUGGCUGCCCCAGCUGCUGUUUCCAAUUGAAGAACUUUCACGCCAUCAACUUCCUUAGGGUUCGGAAUAAUCUCCAUCUUAAGUGCAUCGGCCUCCACAAGCUGCUUAAUGGCCUUUAAGUUUACCCAUAGGUUGUUGGUAUUAAAGAUCUUGAAUUUCUCGAUGGAUUUGAAUUCAUUCACAUGUGCAUCCGGAACUUGUGCAAUUUCCAACAGCUGGACUCUGCCUUCAUAAGAGAUAAGAGUACCACCCUUGACAUCAGCCAAAGUUUUUGGAGUUACCUCCAUGCAAUAUCCAUUCUGGUUGUGGAUCAAAUGAUUCAGAAUUUUUAUGUCAACAAUAGCACCCAAGUUAUCUGAGUUGGCAAUAAAGAUAUAUUCCUUGCCCUGUGAGAGUAAUGCAUCAAGCUUGCCGCUGUUCUUCAAGGAAGGGAAAACAUCACCAUGGCCUGGAGGAUACCAUCCUUCUUUUCCUGCCUGAACUUUGGAUGGCAGUGGCAAAAAGUCAUCAACAACUAAACGAGGAUAUUGGCUCUGGUUAAAUGUAUGGAUAUCAAUGUUUGAGUUGGAAUAUUUCUCCACAAUCUUCAGUGUAUCAUCAUGGGUGUUGAAUGAGUUCAUUAGAAGUAGAGGUACAUUGCACCCAUACUUUUUGUUGAGAGACUCUAUUUGGAUGACAAUCAAGUCCAGAAAUGUAAAUCCAUUUCGCACCUCAAUAACAGACUUGGGACCAGUACACCCCAUCGUCGUCCCCAGACCGCCAUUGAGCUUCAGCACCGCAAGCUUGUUAAGAAGCUUCUUCGUCUCCUCAAGAUCUUCCGGAGGCGGCGCUAAGGUGUCGUACGGCACAACAAUCUCAUCCGUCGGUGUCUUGAUCUUGCUCCACUCAAUCUGCUCCUCGUCCCCACUCAGGUAACGGGAGACGAGGUUGAUGAAGCCAGAUUUCUCGUUUUCGCUGAUCUCGCUGAGGCUGGCGACGGCGGAGCUGAGCUUCGAGAUCUUAUCGGUCGCGGCGGGGGCGACAGCGACGGCAGCCAUUGGAGAGCGGAGGCCGAGCUGAGGGGAGUGAGAAAAUGAGAACCGAACGUUCGGGAAAGGCCGGGAAUGGAGG
RNAcentral lists this unclassified non-coding RNA (1718 nucleotides) under Hevea brasiliensis (rubber tree). The record is from RNAcentral. Lineage: Eukaryota; Viridiplantae; Streptophyta; Magnoliopsida; Malpighiales; Euphorbiaceae.